Molecule: long non-coding RNA, 957 nt
Organism: Entelurus aequoreus (snake pipefish)
Lineage: Eukaryota; Metazoa; Chordata; Actinopteri; Syngnathiformes; Syngnathidae
Exons: 4
Source: RefSeq, a predicted model, not a curated record
UCUUUUCCCGGACGGUCGUGUCCUCCUCGUCUCCAAUCAGCCAACGGAAUUUCGGAUCACUUCUCAGACGGACGGCUCGCCAGCCCUUGAUGGUGACGUAGCUGCACGCGGCGUUCAGGUCCCCUAAAAUCAUCGCGUUCUGCAGAUCUCUUUGAACACGACAUAAAGUUCAUCCAUCUCCUUCAUGGCCGUUUUGGGACUGGUGUGUUGGCCGAUGAGGACCACAUCCUUCAUUACUAAAACACAAAACAAAAACAAGAUGCUGCAGCCACAACAAGAUGACACCACCCCCAGCCAGCAGGAGGAGGAAGAAGACCACCAUGGUAAAUGGAUUCCACCGGAAGACACGUCGCUUCUGCGUGGGGAAAGCAACCAUACGGUGCAUUUUGUGUCCUCUCAACCAUCAAGACUCCCUCAGGUUUCACUUCGUCCUCUAAUGACUUCUGAACCAUCGCAUCCUUUUUCUCAACGUUGCCACCUUGGACAGCGUAAGAAGUGAAUUACAGUAAUAAUUCAUGUCUUUUGGAGAAAACAACGGCCGUUUAAAUCUUACGGUUCUGCUCUUUGUCUCUGAGAAAUUGGUUGUAUUCUUCCAGAAGACCCAUGCUGAACUGUAACUCCUUCAUGUCUUGUCUCUGAGACACCAGCUCCUCUGUCAGCGCAGCCUCUCUGCAUCUGGACAGCUACACAGCAACACUUUCAUCACCAAACACCUUCACAUUAUACACCUCUUAUGAAUUCUUCAUGAAACAUAUCUGGGAAUACUUCAAUCUGGACUUGCUGCUGUCGCAGUUGAUCCGUGCGGAGGUCUUGUUGCUGCCUGAGAUUUUCAGACGUUAGCUUGAGCUCCUCGUAAAGACUCUGCAUCUUCAGGACGUCCACCUUUGCAGUAAUCAGCGCUUCCUGCUGAUACAGCAAUUUGACACUGCAUGAAAGACUUGUGUUGACUGGUUUCAU